GAAUGAAUUUCUUUGCUUUUAAUCUCACACAGUUUAAAAUACAAUAUGAAAUCAGGCUACAGUAUAUAAAAAAUUCUCCAGCAAAAUGAUGUGCCAGCAUCAGCUACUAAAAUAAACGAACAAAAAAUUCCCCCGUAAGAAAUUUUUUUUUGCAUUAAAAAAAAAACACAUAGACACUUACAUCGCUACAUCUCUAAGCUACCUCAGUUCUGAUUUUUUAAAAAGCACCUGCUUUUCCUUUUUUUUUUUCUCAUCUUGCUUUUAAAUUUUCAGG
RNAcentral lists this long non-coding RNA (274 nucleotides) under Bos taurus (domestic cattle). RNAcentral describes it as "long non-coding RNA NONBTAT017537". The record is from RNAcentral. Lineage: Eukaryota; Metazoa; Chordata; Mammalia; Artiodactyla; Bovidae.